Saccostrea cuccullata (small rock oyster) is the source of this 251-nucleotide long non-coding RNA. RefSeq lists it as uncharacterized. The transcript is spliced from 4 exons. The record is from RefSeq and is a predicted model, not a curated record. NCBI's taxonomy places the organism in Eukaryota, Metazoa, Mollusca, Bivalvia, Ostreida, Ostreidae.
CACAUUUCUGUCAACAACAGGCCGUGCCCUGCAUCUAGACAUAGUUAAGUUGGGUAGUGAUGUGUGGCAGUUCAGUAAUGAGAUGGGUGCCACUUUAGGGAGAACGUGCAGAUGAGGCUUAUUUUAACAGCUCUUAUGAACGAUGCCGAGGAAGCCGAGAAACUAUUAGCUUUGAAAUUGAGCACCCUACCCCAGGAACAGUAUAGCCUGGGCAAGUGGCUGAAUUUCCACACUGACAUGUUCAGCAUCAG